Molecule: ribosomal RNA, 141 nt
Filed under: uncultured bacterium
Lineage: Bacteria
Description: partial 16S rRNA
Rfam family: Bacterial small subunit ribosomal RNA
Source: RNAcentral
UGGGGAAUUUUCCGCAAUGGGCGAAAGCCUGACGGAGCAAUGCCGCGUGGAGGUGGAAGGCCUACGGGUCGUCAACUUCUUUUCUCGGAGAAGAAACAAUGACGGUAUCUGAGGAAUAUGCAUCAGCUAACUCUGUGCCAU